This 476-nucleotide ribosomal RNA is filed under the name Priestia flexa. Its description in RNAcentral is "bacterial SSU rRNA". It matches the Rfam family "Bacterial small subunit ribosomal RNA", at positions 942 to 1417 of the family's 1533-position model. The record is from RNAcentral. Lineage: Bacteria; Bacillati; Bacillota; Bacilli; Caryophanales; Bacillaceae.
UGGUUUAAUUCGAAGCAACGCGAAGAACCUUACCAGGUCUUGACAUCCUCUGACAACUCUAGAGAUAGAGCGUUCCCCUUCGGGGGACAGAGUGACAGGUGGUGCAUGGUUGUCGUCAGCUCGUGUCGUGAGAUGUUGGGUUAAGUCCCGCAACGAGCGCAACCCUUGAUCUUAGUUGCCAGCAUUUAGUUGGGCACUCUAAGGUGACUGCCGGUGACAAACCGGAGGAAGGUGGGGAUGACGUCAAAUCAUCAUGCCCCUUAUGACCUGGGCUACACACGUGCUACAAUGGAUGGUACAAAGGGCUGCAAGACCGCGAGGUCAAGCCAAUCCCAUAAAACCAUUCUCAGUUCGGAUUGUAGGCUGCAACUCGCCUACAUGAAGCUGGAAUCGCUAGUAAUCGCGGAUCAGCAUGCCGCGGUGAAUACGUUCCCGGGCCUUGUACACACCGCCCGUCACACCACGAGAGUUUGUAA